AUGGCACAGUAUAUACAAAGAACCUGUGGACAUUGUCCUGCAUACUCAAAGGCCUGCCUAGAACUUUUCUUCAGUUGUUUUAGAUACUGCUUGCUGUUAAGCACUGCUCCCGGUUGUCAGCUCCAAUUCCUCAGAACAAGACAGUACGCAGGCGCAGGCGUAGGUGUUCGGCCACGCCUUUCCAACCUUUGUGUCUGUCUCCACAGCCAUGGAAGAUGCAGACACCUACAUUCUCUGGAAGCUUUCCCUGACAAGGCAGCCACUCGCUGCUUUAUAAAACCCGUAGGGAAACGCCUCUCUCUUUUUGCCGUUUUACUAAGUGUCUGUAUUUUCUUAGAACACAGUUCAGAAGUUACCGUCUCUGACAUUGAAAUGCCUGAGAUAUUGUGAUGAAGUAGGGGAAAAAAAAAGUCUUGGGUUUGAUACAAAAGGAAUGACACGACAAAGGCGAUGGCUGCGGGAUUCUGAGAGUAGGAGAGAGGUGGGAAACAGGGACCACGGGGUCUGGCCCUCGGAGCCACGGUGUUGAAUAGGUCAUUAAGUCGUGCAACUCUCCUCAGCUUAACUGGCCCAACAGAAAAGAAGGCUACAAUCUUCAGACGUGUUUAAAGACUCUAUGAAAGUCUGUGGUUAUAGCCUAAUUGAUAACUUUAUGAAAAAAAAGUUUUUGGGGCUGAGGCUGUGUACAAGUCUACAG
This 697-nucleotide long non-coding RNA is filed under the name Rattus norvegicus (Norway rat). RNAcentral's name for it is "long non-coding RNA NONRATT031743". Lineage: Eukaryota; Metazoa; Chordata; Mammalia; Rodentia; Muridae. The record is from RNAcentral.